AGCAGGGAAUAUACAGAGAGCAAGAGGAAUAGCUAUCUUGAGUAGCCUGUCCAUGCAGUCUGCUAUGAACUCUUCCCAGAUUCCAUUUAUCUCAAAGGAGAAGAAACAGGCUGAUCUGCAUUCAGCAAGUGACUGCCCCAGCGCCUCUGCAGUGUGAAGAUUUGAAAUCGACUUUCUCCCUGGAGGAUGUUUCUUGGAUGCAGGAGGGGAAGAAAAGUCAGCUAAGCCAAGCCAUCUUUAAAGAUCUUCUCUCGGAAGCAAGGGUCGCCAGAAAAGCCAGAGUGGAGACUGCAGGGAGUACGGAUUUGAAUGAACUUUGGCUGCUCCAUCAAGCAUGCUGAUCACUGAGGAAACAUCAGAAGCCUCACCCAAGUGACUCAUCCCCCAAAUCCAACAGAGGAGAUGGUGGAUGUUCACUAAGCUUAUUGCGGUACCCAUUUCAUGAUGUACGUAAGUCAAAUCAUUAUGCUGUACACCUGAAAUUUAUACAGUGCUGUAUGUCAGUUAUAGCUCAAUAAAACUGGAAGAAAAAAACCCCAAACAAACAAAAAAGAAGGAUAGAGUGAUCUGUAAUUUUAAAUGCUGCUAAUAGAUUCAGUCAAAUGAGAACUAAGAAUUGAUCACUGGACUGGCAGAAUGGAGAUAAUUUGUUACCUUAACACACAUCGUUUACUAGUGUGCAAAAAGCAAAGUAUCUGAUUAGAAUGGGUUGAGGAAAAAAUGAAAGUGAAAAAAAAAAAAGAAUGGAGUAACAUUUUUGAGCAGCCUUGCCAUAAAGGGCAUCAGAAAAAUGGAGUGGUUGGUGGAAGGCAGUGAGGGAUCUGGUUGAUGGUGAUAUCACUAUUUAUAUGCUGAUGGGAAUAAUUCAGUGGGUGAAUCAUGAAGAUGGGCAGGAAAUGAGUUUUGAGGGAUUUUCCCCCCUCUUUUACUAUUCCUAUAUUUGUAGAUAGAGAUCUUGCAAUCCAGGAGGUUAAAUGAGUUAUCCAAAAUCACACUACAAGCUAGUAGGCUAAGCUUGCAGAUUUCCAGUUCAGAACUACCCUUGCCACCCACAUUGCUUGAGUGUGUCUAAUCUCUGGGCUAGGGUACUUGGGAAGGUAUAUAAAAUUCAACUUAUCUAUUUUCAUAUUUUCUUUAAGAAUUUCAAAGAUGAGAAAAAUUUCAGAAAACAAGUAAUAAAUCAUACCAAAAUGUUGAGUAGCUGAAUUUUUGGUAUAGACAUUAAUUUUAGUAGCCAUACAAGGAAAAAAUAGUGAUGACUGAGUCAUUGGUGGAAAGUAUUUCGGGUAAAAAGAAAAACAUAAAAGGUAGACAUUCAAGAAUGAUUCUAGUAUCUUCACAAGGCAGUCAAGUAUGCAAAUUUGAUUAGAACCAGGACAAGGGAUGGGUAGCAACUGAAAAUGAAGUUGGUAGAGAAGAUGAUUUCAACCUGUUAUUCAAGGAUGCUAAAGACCUGGGAGAAGUUUUAGCUAAUUGUGGUAGAAAAUGGGGAGUUACUGAAGAUUUCUGAGGGGAGGAGUUGGAUGACCUCACACUAAUUUUAUUUGUGGAAAGGGAUGGGAGAAUCCCUAAAAAUCUGAAGGUUUCUAAGUCAGAGCGGGAUAUGGAGGUGCUAGCAGUAGGAAUUAGUGAAGGAGAAAAAGGUCAUAGGAGAUGUUCAGUUCAGUUUGAAUUAUGGUCAAAUAUACAACAAGAAAUGGACAAGAGACAUUUGGAAUCACAAGCUCGGUGCUCAGAUAAACAGGAGGAUUUAAAGUUAGAAUUUUAUGAGGCUAUCACAUAAAGUUGUGUUGAAUCUAUGAUUAUAUAGUACAAGAGUUCUUUUGGGUAAUGGAAGAAUGGGGACUCAAGACAGAGUUGUUGAGAAUAUUCACACUCUAAUUUCUUUAAGCUUGCAUUUCGCCUACUCUGAACUGUGGUUAAUAUUACCCACCCCACCUACCAUAUUCACAGUUGUUGUGAGGCUUUCGAGAAAUGAGAGAUGUGAACAUUCUAUGAAAAACUGUGGUGUUAUUUCAGAUGUAGUGUGAAAUUGCAAUGACAAAUGAUAUAAACAUGAUCAAAUAGGAUAGCGUUUCAAGUUAUCUAAAAAAUAAUGAGAUUGAGAAAAGGUGCAAUUAUGUAUCCGUAAAAAUGGCUUUAAUAUGCUUAGUUGAGACUGGCUGUUGGAUCUUCCUGUACAUAUGAGUUCCCAACUUUCAAUUCCAAACUUGAGUUUGAAAAUUUAAAACAACUGUUAAAGAAGAUGAUUUAAAAAAAAAAUUCAAAUUGAGAGAAAGCAAGUUGUUUAAAACUGUUGUUUUAAAGAAGCAGCUGGUAGCAUGUGUCAGGACAAUUUGCAGCUAUUAUCACCUCUUUAAGAUACUGAGAAAAUUGAAUUGCUGACUAAUGUACUUGUGGAUGAAGGUCACCUUUCAAGAACCCAGUGACUGCAGUAGGACCCUACUUUAAAAAUCCAUCUUGCAAUGUUUCAUUUGGGAAAG
Molecule: long non-coding RNA, 2483 nt
Organism: Balaenoptera musculus (blue whale)
Lineage: Eukaryota; Metazoa; Chordata; Mammalia; Artiodactyla; Balaenopteridae
Exons: 4
Source: RefSeq, a predicted model, not a curated record